Cinara cedri is the source of this 1017-nucleotide non-coding RNA. The record is from the annotation of a GenBank genome assembly. NCBI's taxonomy places the organism in Eukaryota, Metazoa, Arthropoda, Insecta, Hemiptera, Aphididae.
UUGAGUGUCUAAAUGGUUCACCAUCUACUUUGAUAAUAUUGACUAAAACAUAAAUUCCAACUUAUAAACUGUAUCAAUUGAGUAUUCAUAAAAUCAUAUCAAUCGUAUACAUUUCAAAUUCCUGGUAGGUAUUUACCUACAUUAGUUCAUCAGUAGAUUGGAGUAUAACUUUUCACUGUAGAUAUUUUUGUCGCUAUAAUGUUUGUAAAUACUAGACGUUAGUACACCACUGCGUUACCGUUAAAGCGGUCGAAUUAGUUUGUUUUCGUUACCAAAAAUGUUUUUGCAAAAAAACGAUGCGGUUGACAGUUUACAUGUUAUAAUAAUUCUACUGAACUCUUUUUUAUGAAAGUAAUAAAUUACCCUUAAAAUAAAAUAAGUAAACUAGUUAUUACUAUACUAUAAUUAUUGUAGUUCUUAAAAGGCCUAACUGCUGUUAGUAUAUAUGCAAUAAGCCUGAAAACAGUAGACCGUUUAGAAAAAUAAUAAGUAGUUCACAAACGGGCUACCCCAUUACAAAGAAUCUUUUCGCAAAAGGACUGAUUUUCCAUAUGACCUACGACAUAUACAUGUAUAGUGUAUAAUAGUUUGUUUCUAAUGAAGCGUUAGUAUUUUUUUGUUAUUUUUAUGACUUCCCGCUGAUACUAAUAUUAUACAAAUAUCAAGUUGGAAAAAAACCUUUCUUUCGAACCUUCCCCCCACCCCCGUUUAAAUUUCACCAACGAAUAUUUAGCCCCAACCUGGGGGUGUUAAAUUUCUCACUUUUCGCUGUUAUAACACCGGGUCUCGAAUCAAUCAAAACGAAAGUCAAUAUUUUAAUUUUCAAUUAAUUUUAAUCAAUUUUCGACAGAUUUAUGUUACUUUUGUAACCGAAAAUUCUUUUCUAUUGAGUCGAUUUGAGUUUGGGCAUCCUUGAUGACGUACCCAGUCAAUGGUUAAUAAUAUAUAAUAAUAAUAUAUAUCAACCUAAUCAAUUUUAUUAUUUAAUGAUUAAACGAAAAAUCCUAUUCGUAACGG